Long non-coding RNA from Eptesicus fuscus (big brown bat), 456 nucleotides. RefSeq lists it as uncharacterized. NCBI's taxonomy places the organism in Eukaryota, Metazoa, Chordata, Mammalia, Chiroptera, Vespertilionidae. The record is from RefSeq and is a predicted model, not a curated record. The transcript is spliced from 2 exons.
GUUUUCAGACGGACAAAAUGCAUAGGGUUACAACAGAAACCCGUGGUACUGACCUAGAAGUAGGACUUACAUGUGAGGAGGUCAUGUAUGUUUCAGGGAAGCAUGAACAGAAGCGGCAGGUCUAAUGGCUAAUUUCACACUCUUAAGGACUGGAAGUGACCUUGGGAGGAUUUGAUUUCUAGUGAGAGCCAUCAGGUGGCUCAGUUGGUUGGAGCGUCGUCCUGUGCAGCAAAGGAUGGAGGGUUCAAUUCCUGGUCAGAGCACUUACCUAGGUUUCGGGUUCAAUCCCCGGAUGGGAGACAACCAGUCAAUACUUCUCUUUCACAUUGAUGUUUCUCAAUGAAAGCAUGUCCUCGGCGAGGAUAAAAAAAUUCCUUUCUGGGAUCAGUCUAGUUUCAUAUAACUUUUUGUUGCCUCAACUGUACUGAAAAUAAAAUUGAAUAUGCUAAAAUUGCA